RNAcentral lists this ribosomal RNA (502 nucleotides) under uncultured bacterium. Its description in RNAcentral is "partial 16S ribosomal RNA". It matches the Rfam family "Bacterial small subunit ribosomal RNA", at positions 899 to 1397 of the family's 1533-position model. The record is from RNAcentral.
ACUCAAAUGAAUAGACGGGGGCCCGCACAAGCGGUGGAGCAUGUGGUUCAAUUCGACGCAACGCGCAGAACCUUACCAGCCCUUGACAUCCCGGUCGCGGGUUCCAGAGAUGGGAUCCUUCAGUUCGGCUGGACCGGAGACAGGUGCUGCAUGGCUGUCGUCAGCUCGUGUCGUGAGAUGUUGGGUUAAGUCCCGCAACGAGCGCAACCCUCGCCCUUAGUUGCCAUCAUUCAGUUGGGCACUCUAAGGGGACUGCCGGUGAUAAGCCGCGAGGAAGGUGGGGAUGACGUCAAGUCCUCAUGGCCCUUACGGGCUGGGCUACACACGUGCUACAAUGGCGGUGACAGUGGGAUGCAAAAGGAGCAAUCCUGAGCAAAUCUCCAAAAGCCGUCUCAGUUCGGAUUGUGCUCUGCAACUCGGGCACAUGAAGUUGGAAUCGCUAGUAAUCGCAGAUCAGCACGCUGCGGUGAAUACGUUCCCGGGCCUUGUACACACCGCCCGU